Non-coding RNA from Gnomoniopsis sp. IMI 355080, 91 nucleotides. NCBI's taxonomy places the organism in Eukaryota, Fungi, Ascomycota, Sordariomycetes, Diaporthales, Gnomoniaceae. The record is from the annotation of a GenBank genome assembly.
GGUCCGUUGGCCCAAUGGCAAGGCGUCUGACUACGACUCAUACGUGAGCGCUAUAAUCAGGAGAUUGCAGGUUCGACCCCUGCACGGAUCA